AGCAGCCGCGGUAAUUCCAGCUCCAAUAGCGUAUAUUAAAGUUGUUGCAGUUAAAAAGCUCGUAGUUGAAUUUCAGGCCUGGCUGGACGGUCCGCCCUUCGGGUGAGUACUGUCUGUGGUCGGGUCCUACCUUCUGGCGAAGCGUCAUGGCCUUAACCGGCCGUGGCGGGGAACCAGGACUUUUACUGUGAAAAAAUUAGAGUGUUCAAAGCAGGCAAUCGCUUGGAUACAUUAGCAUGGAAUAAUGGAGUAGGACAAUGGUUCUAUUUGUUGGUUUCUAGGACCGUUGUAAUGAUUAAUAGGGAUAGUUGGGGGCAUUAGUAUUCAAUUGUCAGAGGUGAAAUUCUUGGAUUUAUUGAAGACUAACUACUGCGAAAGCAUUUGCCAAGGAUGUUUUCAUUAAUCAAGAACGAAAGUUAGGGGAUCGAAGACGAUCAGAUACCGUCGUAGUCUUAACCAUAAACUAUGCCGACUAGGAAUCGGGCGAUGUUGAAAAAAUGACGC
Molecule: ribosomal RNA, 504 nt
Filed under: uncultured Glomeromycotina
Lineage: Eukaryota; Fungi; Glomeromycota
Description: SSU rRNA
Rfam family: Eukaryotic small subunit ribosomal RNA
Source: RNAcentral